RNAcentral lists this long non-coding RNA (234 nucleotides) under Lathyrus oleraceus (garden pea). RNAcentral describes it as "Pisum sativum (pea) long non-coding RNA (PSAT_LNC036562)". Lineage: Eukaryota; Viridiplantae; Streptophyta; Magnoliopsida; Fabales; Fabaceae. The record is from RNAcentral.
UAAAAUUCAACUCUGAAUUGACCCUGAUGAAAGCAUAUGUAGAGAAGCCAAAUGUCUCAAAUUCUGAAAGGUCAGAAUCUAAUGACUCUGAAUGUGUAGUUCAGCUUAUGAAGGAACAACAUCUAAUUAUGGUAUCCCUGCCUCUGGUGACAGCUCAGACUCUGGAUACCUCAGUUUAAGGUGCUCAACUUCUGGUCCGUACUCUAUCUCCAUAGCAUGCCUAUCUUGUCAACA